UAACCUGCCCAAGAGAUCGGGAUAACACCUGGAAACAGAUGCUAAUACCGGAUAACAACAGAUGAUGCCUAUCAACUGUUUAAAAGAUGGUUNUGCUAUCACUCUUGGAUGGACCUGCGGUGCAUUAGCUAGUUGGUAGGGUAACGGCCUACCAAGGCGAUGAUGCAUAGCCGAGUUGAGAGACUGAUGGCCACAUUGGGACUGAGACACGGCCCAAACUCCUACGGGAGGCAGCAGCU
Molecule: ribosomal RNA, 239 nt
Filed under: uncultured Lactobacillus sp.
Lineage: Bacteria; Bacillati; Bacillota; Bacilli; Lactobacillales; Lactobacillaceae
Description: partial 16S ribosomal RNA
Rfam family: Bacterial small subunit ribosomal RNA
Source: RNAcentral